UUGGCGGCCAGUGGCGAACGGUUGANUAAUAUAUCGGAACGUACCCAGAAGUGGGGGAUAACGUAGCGAAAGUUACGCUAAUACCGCAUACGAUCUACGGAUGAAAGUGGGGGACCUUCGGGCCUCAUGCUUGUGGAGCGGCCGAUAUCUGAUUAGCUAGUUGGUAGGGUAAAGGCCUACCAAGGCGACGAUCAGUAGCUGGUCUGAGAGGACGACCAGCCACACUGGGACUGAGACACGGCCCAGACUCCUACGGGAGGCAGCAGUGGGGAAUUUUGGACAAUGGGCGCAAGCCUGAUCCAGCAAUGCCGCGUGAGUNAAGAAGGCCUUCGGGUUGUAAAGCUCUUUUGUCAGGNAAGAAACGGGAUUGGCUAAUAUCCGAUCCUAAUGACGGUACCUGAAGAAUAAGCACCGGCUAACUACGUGC
This 427-nucleotide ribosomal RNA is filed under the name Oxalobacteraceae bacterium T1. RNAcentral's name for it is "bacterial SSU rRNA". It matches the Rfam family "Bacterial small subunit ribosomal RNA", at positions 85 to 508 of the family's 1533-position model. Lineage: Bacteria; Pseudomonadati; Pseudomonadota; Betaproteobacteria; Burkholderiales; Oxalobacteraceae. The record is from RNAcentral.